RNAcentral lists this ribosomal RNA (1154 nucleotides) under Candidatus Phytoplasma oryzae. RNAcentral describes it as "bacterial SSU rRNA". It matches the Rfam family "Bacterial small subunit ribosomal RNA", at positions 189 to 1354 of the family's 1533-position model. Lineage: Bacteria; Bacillati; Mycoplasmatota; Mollicutes; Acholeplasmatales; Acholeplasmataceae. The record is from RNAcentral.
AAGACCUUUUUCGGAAGGUAUGCUUAAAGAGGGGCUUGCGUCACAUUAGUUAGUUGGCAGGGUAAAGGCCUACCAAGACUAUGAUGUGUAGCUGGACUGAGAGGUUGAACAGCCACAUUGGGACUGAGACACGGCCCAAACUCCUACGGGAGGCAGCAGUAGGGAAUUUUCGGCAAUGGAGGAAACUCUGACCGAGCAACGCCGCGUGAACGAUGAAGUAUUUCGGUAUGUAAAGUUCUUUUAUUGAAGAAGAAAAAAUAGUGGAAAAACUAUCUUGACGAUAUUCAAUGAAUAAGCCCCGGCAAACUAUGUGCCAGCAGCCGCGGUAAUACAUAGGGGGCGAGCGUUUAUCCGGAAUUAUUGGGCGUAAAGGGUGCGUAGGCGGUUUAAUAAGUCUAUAGUUUAAUUUCAGUGCUUAACACUGUCCUGCUAUAGAAACUAUUAGACUAGAGUGAGAUAGAGGCAAGUGGAAUUCCAUGUGUAGCGGUAAAAUGCGUAAAUAUAUGGAGGAACACCAGAGGCGUAGGCGGCUUGCUGGGUCUUUACUGACGCUGAGGCACGAAAGCGUGGGGAGCAAACAGGAUUAGAUACCCUGGUAGUCCACGCCGUAAACGAUGAGUACUAAGUGUCGGGAUUACUCGGUACUGAAGUUAACACAUUAAGUACUCCGCCUGAGUAGUACGGUACGCAAGUAUGAAACUUAAAGGAAUUGACGGGACUCCGCACAAGCGGUGGAUCAUGUUGUUUAAUUCGAAGAUACACGAAAAACCUUACCAGGUCUUGACAUACUCUGCAAAGCUAUAGCAAUAUUAGUGGAGGUUAUCAGGGAUACAGGUGGUGCAUGGUUGUCGUCAGCUCGUGUCGUGAGAUGUUAGGUUAAGUCCUAAAACGAGCGCAACCCUUGUCAUUAGUUGCCAGCAUGUCAUGAUGGGCACUUUUAAUGAGACUGCCAAUGAAAAAUUGGAGGAAGGUGAGGAUCACGUCAAAUCAUCAUGCCCCUUAUGAUCUGGGCUACAAACGUGAUACAAUGGCUGUUACAAAGAGUAGCUGAAACGCAAGUUUAUUAGCCAAUCUCAUAAAAGCAGUCUCAGUUCGGAUUGAAGUCUGCAACUCGACUUCAUGAAGUUGGAAUCGCUAGUAAUCGCGAAUCAGCA